CCAUGUUGUACAGCAGAUAUCUAGAGCUUAUUUAUCUUGCUUGACAGAAACUUUAUGCCUAUUGAUUAGUAAUUUCCUGCUUGUUUUAUUUCGUAUUGUUUACUUUUUGUAUGUGGCUAGUCAUUACCUUGGUCCAAAAUGGUAACGUGUGAGUUGCCCUAUAUAUUAUUUUCAUUCAAGGAGUCAGAGGGUAUUUAAUCUUUAUGUCCUAGCAGAUGAAAAUAUUUGGGUACAUGCUACAUUUCAAUGAAAAAUGAGACCAGACAUUAAAGACAGAAGAAAGGAGACUUCAUAGAAAUAAAUGGCUGAAGGGCAGUGUGGACCAGUGUCCUCAGAUUGUUUAGGCAAGUUGCUUCACCUCCCUGAACUUCAAUUUCAACACCACUUAAAUGAUAAUAACAAUGCCUUCCUGCUAGUAAUGACGACUGAAUGCAUCAGAAUUAAAAGGGUAAACGUGUAAAAGCAUAGCUACUGAAUAAAUGUUGCUUCAAUAUAAGUUUUUAAAUAUUUGAUAAUAAUGUGUUUCCAUUGCACGGGAAGAAAGUGUGUGAACAUCCAAACAGGAAAACAAGGUCAUCCAUAUUUAAUACUCAAUGCCCCCUCACUCCUUUACACUCACUGCACAACAUCCCUGAAAAGAUGAAGACUUGGGGACAGCGGAUGUUUAUAAGUAGUUGCUGAUAAAUGUGUUUGCUUGCUACCCUGUGGCCCAAGGCUUUUACUUUAUGAAUAUUGAAAGAACAUAAUCAAAUCUAUCCAGGUCCGAACUAAUGUAAUAGUAACAGUCUUUCUGAAUGCCAUGGUUUUGGAGCACAUUUCAUGGUAAAGCAGCUAAACAGCUACUACAGUGAGAGGUGAGCCCACACUGGCCACCACCUGCAAUCUGUGUUGUCCCAGAGUCAAUCCAGAUCAUGGUUCUCUCUUGAGGCCUUCAGACCAAGGUGCAGGGACAGCUUUUCUCCCUUCAUUUUUACAUUUUUCUUCUUUCCCUUUUGCUCUUGUUAAGAGCUACCUGUAUAAAGUACUUUAUUACUCAUCUUCUAAGAGCAAAGGGAAAAUUCAAUGAACCUAUCUGAACCUUGGUAAUGCAACAUUAAU
This 1098-nucleotide long non-coding RNA is filed under the name Homo sapiens (human). Its description in RNAcentral is "HSALNT0127931". Lineage: Eukaryota; Metazoa; Chordata; Mammalia; Primates; Hominidae. The record is from RNAcentral.